CUCAAGGCAGGUGGAGCUGUGGGAAGUAGCGCCGAUGCCCUGGGUGGCUUCAGCAGACCUCCUGCGAUGUUCCGGAGUCUCACCUGCUGUCCCGAACCCUGUGGCAGGGAGUUGAAGGUCUGUGCUGAACCCAGUGAAAGCCCAGGGACUAGCGGGCAGGGCUGCUCUUUGAGGGCAAACUCAAGGGCAAUACAGACACUCCAGGGACAGAAGAGGGUCAUGCUAAGUUGUGUGUGUGUGUGUAGAGUCCCUUUAAAAAAAUAGGAUCCCAGAUGUAAUUUGCAGUCUCCUAAAAUGCUCAUUAACUCUGGACCAGCCAGAAUGAGGUGAGUGGUGGGCCUUUGUUACUGAUAAUGAAACUAUUGAACCAAAACCCUGAUCUGGACACGUAUUGUAGGCAUUGAUGCAGCCACGCAGAAGAUCCUGGCAUGGGCUGUGUGUGAAGUUAACAGCCUGAUACACCAUUCAAGCUGGGUUAGGGCAUUUGUGGUGGUGGUGGUUGAUUAUGUCAGUUCACGUCUUCCCUUCUCUUUUCAUGGUGUAACCAGAACUCUCUUCUCCCAACAGUUUGAGAAACUUGUAAAGAGCUGAAGAUGAGAGACAGACGACACUUUGCAGCUUUAUAUAGAUCGUUUGCAUUUCCUGUGGGAUUUUGUGUGAAUUUUUGUGCUCUCUGUGGUGCAGGUGAUAAUGGGGGAGGAAAGAGUGGUGACAGAAAUUCAUGUAAAGCAGGAGAACACAUCUGGGGAGAUCUGACCUUUGAAGAGGUGUUGAUGGUAGUGAAAAUGCUGGGUGCUCAGGUUGCUGAAGAAGGAAUUGCUGAUACAAAUGCUUGAAUUUGUAUUUAAAGUGAAAUUUGGGCUUCCCAUUGUUUCUGUUUUUUUUUUAAGUUGACCCAUAUAUCAUUUCCCUGGAUUCAUAAGAUUUUUUAGUACUCUAUUCUGUGAAUGUAUCAGAGGGACUACUGUUCAAUUAUAAUUUUCAUGCUUCUUAUUUCAUUUUCCAUAAUUAAGUGUUAGACUUUCAUACAAUACAUAAUCUCUAAAAUGCUAGUGUUGCAUAGCAAUUUCCUCUUAUGUGGUCUUAAUUUACAGGUUUUUUUAAAAUACCUUUUGCAGUUAAUGUAUUGGCUUAUAUUAUUUUACAGGAUUGCCAGUAGAUAGAAUCCGUGUUCACAGAAGGAAUGUGUUAUAGCUUUCCCAGCAUCUCCAUCAGUCCCCAGGAAAAGCACGUGAAAACAAACGGCCAAAGCAUAUCGACGCUGUGAGAGGGGGAAUCUACUUUGCAGUCCAGGACCACUUGACUACUCCUGUCACUUCACUGCUGCUUUUUUGAGGACAGAUGCAUUAGCUCAAGUGCUGUCAGGUACCGGCCACCACAGCUGUACAGAAAGGAGUGAUGGGACCCAUGCCUGUCCUGAACUGCACUGACACAAGCUGAAGAGAACAGAAUUCGAUUCUGAGAAUCCAGUACCCUGGCAGGUUGGUUAAAUCUGCUUAAGAGCCUCGCGUUCCUUGGGGGUGCUCGGGCUGGGAUCACCCCAUUAGCCAGCAGCCCCAGGGCAGCCUGGUCCAUCCUUCAGCAGAUGGAGCCAUCAGCUGUGAUGGAAGAGGAACAGACGCAGAAUGGUCAAUGACAACAUUUGUGUGUAUGCAAGUAAAGGGUUUAUUCAUUCCUGUUUAAAGUGUUGGGAAUUUAACCAUUAUAAAGGCCUAAUCAGAAGACGGAUUAGAUGUUCAAUCACCCUGUUGCAACCGAGGUAAAAAACAUGCACACACACAUAUAUAUGUGUGUAUAUAUAUGCAUAUGCGCUGAAAUGAGUUCUCCAGUCCCCUAGAGUUUAUUUUAUUUGUAUUGAAAAGUCUUUGUUCAAAAUCUAUUUUGGAAGUGUGGUUAGUACAUUCCCUUCAUGCAUGUGCAUGCAUAUACAUGCACCUAAUUCACGGUUUCCAGCCCCCAGUUCCCAAAUGCUUAGUCCCACUCUACCACUGACAUUAGCUGUAAAAGCCAUAAUGUAAUCCUCAAAAAUCUGGAAAAGUUAAUGUUUCUUUUCAUAGCUUUAAAAGUAAAUCUGUUCACUCUCUCAAAAAGCUAAAAUUUAGCUCCUCAGCAAAGCUGGAAAAGCUGGCUUGUUUUGAAAUCAUGGAAGACAUUUUCUGAAGACAAAAAACUUGUGUCUGAGCUUUGAACUCCAUGAAAUUUACCACAACUUGUAGAAUAUCUCUACCUGGAGUUUUGGUGCAAAGUUUCAUCAAGGAACUGACUAUUAAGCAGCAAUACAUAGGAAAUUACAUAAGCUAUUGCCAGACAAGAUAUUCCAGUGAUACCAUAAAAUCCUUCUCCAGUUACUGCUUUCUUAUCCACUUGGCAUGAAAUGUUGACUUGACUUCUACUUACUAUUAAAAUAAAAACCACAGG
Phalacrocorax carbo (great cormorant) is the source of this 2418-nucleotide non-coding RNA. The record is from RefSeq and is a predicted model, not a curated record. Lineage: Eukaryota; Metazoa; Chordata; Aves; Suliformes; Phalacrocoracidae.